RNAcentral lists this ribosomal RNA (492 nucleotides) under uncultured bacterium. RNAcentral describes it as "partial 16S ribosomal RNA". It matches the Rfam family "Bacterial small subunit ribosomal RNA", at positions 29 to 507 of the family's 1533-position model. The record is from RNAcentral.
AGUGAACGCUGGCGGUAGGCCUAACACAUGCAAGUCGAACGGCAGCACAGUAAGAGCUUGCUCUUACGGGUUGCGAGUGGCGGACGGGUGAGGAAUACAUCGGAAUCUACUUUUUCGUGGGGGAUAACGUAGGGAAACUUACGCUAAUACCGCAUACGACCUACGGGUGAAAGCAGGGGAUCUUCGGACCUUGCGCGAUUGAAUGAGCCGAUGUCGGAUUAGCUAGUUGGCGGGGUAAAGGCCCACCAAGGCGACGAUCCGUAGCUGGUCUGAGGGGAUGAUCAGCCACACUGGAACGGAGACACGGUCCAGACUACUACGGGAGGCAGCAGUGGGGAAUAUUGGACAAUGGGCGCAAGCCUGAUCCAGCCAUACCGCGUGGGUGAAGAAGGCCUUCGGGUUGUAAAGCCCUUUUGUUGGGAAAGAAAAGCAGCAGGUUAAUACCCAGCUGUUCUGACGGUACCCAAAGAAUAAGCACCGGCUAACUUCGUG